This 264-nucleotide ribosomal RNA is filed under the name uncultured bacterium. RNAcentral's name for it is "partial 16S ribosomal RNA". It matches the Rfam family "Bacterial small subunit ribosomal RNA", at positions 793 to 1055 of the family's 1533-position model. The record is from RNAcentral.
GUCCACGCCCUAAACGAUGUCGACUAGGUGUUGGGGAAGCGAUUCCUUGGUACCGUAGCUAACGCGUGAAGUCGACCGCCUGGGGAGUACGGCCGCAAGGUUAAAACUCAAAGGAAUUGACGGGGACCCGCACAAGCGGUGGAUGAUGUGGAUUAAUUCGAUGCAACGCGAACAACCUUACCUACCCUUGACAUGUCUGGAAGGCCGCCGAGAGGUGGUUGUGCCCGAAAGGGAACCGGAACACAGGUGCUGCAUGGCUGUCGU